RNAcentral lists this ribosomal RNA (528 nucleotides) under Triticum aestivum (bread wheat). Its description in RNAcentral is "partial small subunit ribosomal RNA". The record is from RNAcentral. Lineage: Eukaryota; Viridiplantae; Streptophyta; Magnoliopsida; Poales; Poaceae.
AUGGAGGCUAAAGUUCUUAUCCUGAUCACCAUGGCCGUGGCCAUGCUCGGGAUGGUGCUCGGCGCCAGUCACACGGUGGGCGCGCCGGCCGGAUCAUGGGACCUGCAGACCAACUACACCCUGUGGGCUUCGAGAACUAGAUUUACCAUCGGCGAUGAGCUCCAGUUUCAGUACUCCACCACCGUGCACAAUGUGGUGGAGGUGAGAAAGGCUGGGUAUGACGCCUGCAACAGCUCCAGCCCCAUCGCGACGUUCCUGACCGGCAACGAUGUCGUCCCACUUGCGGCCAUUGGGACGCGGUACUUCAUUUGCGGCGUUCCAGGGCAUUGCAUCGCUGGUAUGAAGGUUCAAGUCAACGUGAAGUCGAAGGCAGUGCGGACAGUACAACGGUGCCGAGGGACGGGAAAGCGGCUCCGGUGCCGGUACGAGACUGUAUUAAGAUCGGCCACGGCGGCUGGCAUUGAUCAGUCUACGGUGGCGCGGCUAGGUCUGGCCAUUGUCGCGACUGGUCUCAUGUUGUUCUUUUAG